GAUGAACGCUGGCGGCGUGCCUAAUACAUGCAAGUCGAGCGAACAGACGAGGAGCUUGCUCCUCUGACGUUAGCGGCGGACGGGUGAGUAACACGUGGAUAACCUACCUAUAAGACUGGGAUAACUUCGGGAAACCGGAGCUAAUACCGGAUAAUAUAUUGAACCGCAUGGUUCAAUAGUGAAAGACGGUUUUGCUGUCACUUAUAGAUGGAUCCGCGCCGCAUUAGCUAGUUGGUAAGGUAACGGCUUACCAAGGCAACGAUGCGUAGCCGACCUGAGAGGGGGAUAGCCCACACAGGAACUGAGACACGCGCCCGACACCUCCGCGAGGGGCAGGAGGGGAAUCUCCCGCGAUGGGCGAAAGCGUGACGGGGCAACGCCGCGUGAGUGAGGAAGGUCUUCUGGUCGUAAAACUCUGUUUUUAGGGAAGAAAAAAUGUGUAAGUAACUAUGCACGUCUUUACGGUACCUAAUCAGAAAGACCCGGCUAAAUACGUG
Molecule: ribosomal RNA, 497 nt
Filed under: uncultured bacterium
Lineage: Bacteria
Description: partial 16S ribosomal RNA
Rfam family: Bacterial small subunit ribosomal RNA
Source: RNAcentral